RNAcentral lists this ribosomal RNA (400 nucleotides) under uncultured Glomeromycotina. RNAcentral's name for it is "SSU rRNA". It matches the Rfam family "Eukaryotic small subunit ribosomal RNA", at positions 694 to 1092 of the family's 1831-position model. Lineage: Eukaryota; Fungi; Glomeromycota. The record is from RNAcentral.
UCCUCCUUUCUGAAGAACUGUAAUGCCAUUAAUUUGGUGUUGCAGGGAAACAGGACUGUUACUUUGAAAAAAUUAGAGUGUUUAAAGCAGGCUAACGCUUGAAUACAUUAGCAUGGAAUAAUGAAAUAGGACGUUCGAUCCUAUUUUGUUGGUUUCUAGGAUUGACGUAAUGAUUAAUAGGGAUAGUUGGGGGCAUUAGUAUUCAAUUGUCAGAGGUGAAAUUCUUGGAUUUAUUGAAGACUAACUACUGCGAAAGCAUUUGCCAAGGAUGUUUUCAUUAAUCAAGAACGAAAGUUAGGGGAUCGAAGACGAUCAGAUACCGUCGUAGUCUUAACCAUAAACUAUGCCGACUAGGGAUCGGAUGAUGUUAAUUUUUUAAUGACUCAUUCGGCGCCUUACG